AUCUUGAAAACGGAAAAUAAAAACAGCAGACCUAUGAAGGUCGAAGGGGAAGAAAAGCUGUAUCGAUUGUUGAGAUCUGGCGACUUGUUUAAAUUUCAUCAGCCUCACUUCUAUGAACUCUCAGGGUCCUCGUAAGAACUUCCAUUUUAUGUUCUUGUCUUCUCAUCAGUUUGAGUUGUGUCUUUAACAUUGGAGAGAAAAACAACUUGCAAGAUUUUCUUUCAGUAUGAACCAUUCUGAGGUCCUUCAAUUCUUUAGCUGAUUACCAACUCCUACCACUGUUAACCCUCAUCCAGGAACAAGCUUAUGUCUUUAACAUUCUGAGUGGGCUUCAGCAUCCUUGCAUAUGUUCAAUUCUUAAAAACCUGUUGAAAUAAAAGAUCAGGAGACAUAGGAAGGAUGCCAGAAGAGAGCGUGGCCUCACGUGUACCAGCUCUCUGCUCUCCUUUGCCUUGGGACGUUCCAUCCCUGGAAGUUUCCCUGCCCACAUCUUUGUAGAGAGUCCAUUCUCCAAGCUUCAGUGUGUCAUCUGUGAGGACCGUGACCCACCUGGUACAUCGCCUCAGGGCAUUCAUUUCAGGCUCCUUCUAAAUGGCCAAGAGACAACACCAACAUUUUUGUAAUGGCCUGCAAGGCCUUCCGAGAUCUACCUCCUGCAACUCAGCUUCUCCUGUGCUCUCCUUCUGGACUCACUCUGCCUCAGCAACACUGGUCCCUGUUGCCCCACCAAUAUGCCAGGUAAACCUCAGGUUCUCCUCCUGCCUUUUGCUAAGUAUAUGUCUUGAUGACAAGCCUUCUGCUGAUGAGCUGUGUUUCUGG
This 819-nucleotide long non-coding RNA is filed under the name Homo sapiens (human). Its description in RNAcentral is "non-protein coding TEX41:117". The record is from RNAcentral. Lineage: Eukaryota; Metazoa; Chordata; Mammalia; Primates; Hominidae.